This 483-nucleotide ribosomal RNA is filed under the name Arabidopsis thaliana (thale cress). The record is from RNAcentral. Lineage: Eukaryota; Viridiplantae; Streptophyta; Magnoliopsida; Brassicales; Brassicaceae.
CGUGAUUUGGGCUAUAUUACGAACACAAAAUUACUGUUCAAUCAUUGUUUUACAAUUUUUUUCAUGCUUUCAAAGCCUCGCUUAAGAACUAGAAUGGGGCUAUCACUAACAUAGCCGGGCUGUCGAACCCACCGACCGGAAUGGCUUCAAUCCAAGUUCUUUCAAAAAAAAGCAAUAUAUACCGCAUUGCCAUUGCCAUAUACUAACGCUAUGCCCGAUCAUACCAGCCACUCAAUACACGAGAUCCCAUCAGAACUCCGCCAGAUUAAGCCGUGCCUUGGGCCGCAAUAUUGUAACAUAAGAGAAUGGGUGACCUCCCGGGAAGUCCUCGUGUUGCAUCCCUCUUUUUUUUUAAUUUGUUUUUUUUGGUUAAAACUUUAUGACUCUAUAACUUUUAUACCGUGAGGCCAAACUAGGCAUGUGAUACCUUUUCGGAGAUCCCAAUAGAGAACCGGGGUCCGACGAAACCCCCACCGGACAAAC